AGGCCCUGAGGGCCGACCGCGCCUCUCACCACCCACCCGGCGUCUGAGGGAAGCCGGGGUCAUACUCCCUUGUGUGAGGCCCUUCAGAAAGCCGGGGAGAGCCCACCGCAGCUCCCUGGACGUUUCCAGAAGGCUCCGCUGUCCACCCGCACGUCCACCGGGUUUGAAGCUGGCCGUCGUCGACGGACCCGGGGCCCACCACCACCAGCCCGGAACGAAUAAUGGGAGCUAUCACGCGGGGAUUGCAAGGGCUAUUGUUACCCAACCCAGAACACUUUGUGGAGUCUCAUCUUCCUAACCACCGAAUUUUCCCCCUUAAGUCCGGAAAAAGAUAUUAAAGCUGUUUUCUUUGGGACCCAGAUAUCAUCAGGAGAAAUGAAAAUGCAUGUUUUCAAAAUGAGGAUAAUUUCUAAGAGAUCAUGACUACCUUUUUACAGAAAUGCUGCUAGACCAUUCUACAUACCAGAAGCAAAAGGCCUUAUAGCAACCUGGGAAUUCUACAGCUUCUAUGAUCACAAAAACCAUUGGCCUAGGGCUGGGGAGAUGGCUCAGCAGUUACA
This is a long non-coding RNA of Jaculus jaculus (lesser Egyptian jerboa), 560 nucleotides long. RefSeq lists it as uncharacterized. The record is from RefSeq and is a predicted model, not a curated record. The transcript has 4 exons. NCBI's taxonomy places the organism in Eukaryota, Metazoa, Chordata, Mammalia, Rodentia, Dipodidae.